AGCAGCCGCGGUAAUUCCAGCUCCAAUAGCGUAUAUUAAAGUUGUUGCAGUUAAAAAGCUCGUAGUUGAAUUUCGGGAUUAAUAUGCUGGUCGUGCCAUUGGUACGUACUAGUAUUAUUGAUUUCUCCCUUCUGAUGAAUCAUGAUGUCAUUAAUUUGAUGUCAUGGGGAAUCAGGACUGUUACUUUGAAAAAUUAGAGUGUUUAAAGCAGGCUCGCGCUUGAAUACAUUAGCAUGGAAUAAUGAAAUAGGACGUUUGAUUCUAUUUUGUUGGUUUCUAGGAUUGACGUAAUGAUUAAUAGGGAUAGUUGGGGGCAUUAGUAUUCAAUUGUCAGAGGUGAAAUUCUUGGACUUAUUGAAGACUAACUACUGCGAAAGCAUUUGCCAAGGAUGUUUUCAUUAAUCAAGAACGAAAGUUAGGGGAUCGAAGACGAUCAGAUACCGUCGUAGU
Molecule: ribosomal RNA, 450 nt
Filed under: uncultured Glomus
Lineage: Eukaryota; Fungi; Glomeromycota; Glomeromycetes; Glomerales; Glomeraceae
Description: SSU rRNA
Rfam family: Eukaryotic small subunit ribosomal RNA
Source: RNAcentral